RNAcentral lists this ribosomal RNA (1372 nucleotides) under uncultured bacterium. Its description in RNAcentral is "bacterial SSU rRNA". It matches the Rfam family "Bacterial small subunit ribosomal RNA", at positions 28 to 1381 of the family's 1533-position model. The record is from RNAcentral.
GAUGAACGCUGGCGGCGUGCCUAAUACGUGCAAGUCGAGCGAACAGACAAGGAGCUUGCUCCUUUGACGUUAGCGGCGGACGGGUGAGUAACACGUGGGUAACCUACCUAUAAGACUGGGAUAACUUCGGGAAACCGGAGCUAAUACCGGAUAAUAUUUCGAACCGCAUGGUUCGAUAGUGAAAGAUGGUUUUGCUAUCACUUAUAGAUGGACCCGCGCCGUAUUAGCUAGUUGGUAAGGUAACGGCUUACCAAGGCGACGAUACGUAGCCGACCUGAGAGGGUGAUCGGCCACACUGGAACUGAGACACGGUCCAGACUCCUACGGGAGGCAGCAGUAGGGAAUCUUCCGCAAUGGGCGAAAGCCUGACGGAGCAACGCCGCGUGAGUGAUGAAGGUCUUCGGAUCGUAAAACUCUGUUAUUAGGGAAGAACAUACGUGUAAGUAACUAUGCACGUCUUGACGGUACCUAAUCAGAAAGCCACGGCUAACUACGUGCCAGCGGCCGCGGUAAUACGUAGGUGGCAAGCGUUAUCCGGAAUUAUUGGGCGUAAAGCGCGCGUAGGCGGUUUUUUAAGUCUGAUGUGAAAGCCCACGGCUCAACCGUGGAGGGUCAUUGGAAACUGGAAAACUUGAGUGCAGAAGAGGAAAGUGGAAUUCCAUGUGUAGCGGUGAAAUGCGCAGAGAUAUGGAGGAACACCAGUGGCGAAGGCGACUUUCUGGUCUGUAACUGACGCUGAUGUGCGAAAGCGUGGGGAUCAAACAGGAUUAGAUACCCUGGUAGUCCACGCCGUAAACGAUGAGUGCUAAGUGUUAGGGGGCCCCCGCCCCUUAGUGCUGCAGCUAACGCAUUAAGCACUCCGCCUGGGGAGUACGACCGCAAGGUUGAAACUCAAAGGAAUUGACGGGGACCCGCACAAGCGGUGGAGCAUGUGGUUUAAUUCGAAGCAACGCGAAGAACCUUACCAAAUCUUGACAUCCUUUGACAACUCUAGAGAUAGAGCCUUCCCCUUCGGGGGACAAAGUGACAGGUGGUGCAUGGUUGUCGUCAGCUCGUGUCGUGAGAUGUUGGGUUAAGUCCCGCGACGAGCGCAACCCUUAAGCUUAGUUGCCAUCAUUAAGUUGGGCACUCUAAGUUGACUGCCGGUGACAAACCGGAGGAAGGUGGGGAUGACGUCAAAUCAUCAUGCCCCUUAUGAUUUGGGCUACACACGUGCUACAAUGGACAAUACAAAGGGCAGCGAAAUCGCGAGGUCAAGCAAAUCCCAUAAAGUUGUUCUCAGUUCGGAUUGUAGUCUGCAACUCGACUACAUGAAGCUGGAAUCGCUAGUAAUCGUAGAUCAGCAUGCUACGGUGAAUACGUUCCCGGGUCU